RNAcentral lists this ribosomal RNA (425 nucleotides) under uncultured bacterium. RNAcentral describes it as "partial 16S ribosomal RNA". It matches the Rfam family "Bacterial small subunit ribosomal RNA", at positions 354 to 796 of the family's 1533-position model. The record is from RNAcentral.
GUGGGGAAUAUUGGACAAUGGGCGAAAGCCUGAUCCAGCAAUGCCGCGUGAGUGAUGAAGGCCUUAGGGUUGUAAAGCUCUUUUACCAGGGAUGAUAAUGACAGUACCUGGAGAAUAAGCUCCGGCUAACUCCGUGCCAGCAGCCGCGGUAAUACGGAGGGAGCUAGCGUUGUUCGGAAUUACUGGGCGUAAAGCGCGCGUAGGCGGCUACUCAAGUCAGAGGUGAAAGCCCGGGGCUCAACCCCGGAACUGCCGUUGAAACUAGGUAGCUAGAAUCUUGGAGAGGUCAGUGGAAUUCCGAGUGUAGAGGUGAAAUUCGUAGAUAUUCGGAAGAACACCAGUGGCGAAGGCGACUGACUGGACAAGUAUUGACGCUGAGGUGCGAAAGCGUGGGGAGCAAACAGGAUUAGAAACCCGUGUAGUCC